Molecule: ribosomal RNA, 498 nt
Filed under: uncultured bacterium
Lineage: Bacteria
Description: partial 16S ribosomal RNA
Rfam family: Bacterial small subunit ribosomal RNA
Source: RNAcentral
AUUGAACGCUGGCGGCAUGCCUUACACAUGCAAGUCGAACGGUAACAGGUCUUCGGAUGCUGACGAGUGGCGAACGGGUGAGUAAUACAUCGGAACGUGCCUAGUAGCGGGGGAUAACUACUCGCAAGAGUGGCUAAUACCGCAUGAGAUCUACGGAUGAAAGCAGGGGAUCGCAAGACCUUGUGCUACUAGAGCGGCCGGUGGCAGAUUAGGUAGUCGUUGGGAUAAAAGCUUACCAAGCCGACGAUCUGUAGCUGGUCUGAGAGGACGAUCAGCCACACUGGGACUGAGACACGGCCCAGACUCCUACGGGAGGCAGCAGUGGGGAAUUUUGGACAAUGGGCGCAAGCCUGAUCCAGCAAUGCCGCGUGCAGGAUGAAGGCCUUCGGGUUGUAAACUGCUUUUGUACGGAACGAAAAGCCCCGGGUUAAUACCCUGGGGUCAUGACGGUACCGUAAGAAUAAGCACCGGCUAACUACGUGCCAGCAGCCGCAGUAA